UACGUAGGGUCCGAGCGUUGUCCGGAUUUAUUGGGCGUAAAGAGCUCGUAGGCGGUUUCGCAAGUCGGAUGUGAAAACUCAGGGCUCAACCCGGAGACGCCAUCCGAUACUGCGAUGACUGGAGUCUGGUAGGGGAUCACGGAAUACCUGGUGUAGCGGUGAAAUGCGCAGAUAUCAGGUGGAACACCGAUGGCGAAGGCAGUGAUCUGGGCCAGUACUGACGCUGAGGAGCGAAAGCGUGGGGAGCAAACAGG
RNAcentral lists this ribosomal RNA (254 nucleotides) under uncultured bacterium. RNAcentral's name for it is "partial 16S ribosomal RNA". It matches the Rfam family "Bacterial small subunit ribosomal RNA", at positions 524 to 776 of the family's 1533-position model. The record is from RNAcentral.